RNAcentral lists this ribosomal RNA (481 nucleotides) under uncultured bacterium. Its description in RNAcentral is "bacterial SSU rRNA". It matches the Rfam family "Bacterial small subunit ribosomal RNA", at positions 791 to 1263 of the family's 1533-position model. The record is from RNAcentral.
UAGUCCACGCCGUAAACGAUGACAACUAGCUGUUGGGAGACAAGAUCUCUCAGUGGCGCAGCUAACGCUUUAAGUUGUCCGUCUGGGGAGUACGGCCGCAAGGUUAAAACUCAAAGAAAUUGACGGGGACCCGCACAAGCGGUGGAGCAUGUGGUUUAAUUCGAAGCAACGCGAAGAACCUUACCAACCCUUGACAUCCUGAUCGCGGAUCGCAGAGAUGCUUUCCUUCAGUUCGGCUGGAUCAGUGACAGGUGCUGCACGGCUGUCGUCAGCUCGUGUCGUGAGAUGUUCGGUUAAGUCCGGCAACGAGCGCAACCCUAUUUCUAGUUGCCAGCAUUCAGUUGGGCACUCUAGCAAAACUGCCCGUGAUAAGCGGGGAGGAAGGUGGGGGACGACGUCAAGUCAUCAUGGGCCCUUACGGGGUUGGGGCUACACACGUGCUACAAUGGGCGGUGACACUAGGCAGCGACGGGGGCGACCC